This 529-nucleotide long non-coding RNA is filed under the name Homo sapiens (human). Its description in RNAcentral is "HSALNT0141129". Lineage: Eukaryota; Metazoa; Chordata; Mammalia; Primates; Hominidae. The record is from RNAcentral.
GAAACUUCAGAUGGAAAGCUUGCCAGCUCAUUAGAAAAUGUUCCUAAAUGUGAACGGUCAUGCCCCACAUUCAUGAAGUCAGCAUGUAAAUAGAUAACAUUGUCAGGGACCAAUGUUCAAUUUUAUUGUCCUCAAAUAAUAAACUGAACACUAACUUCAAACUUAAAAUAUUGCUGCCCAAAGCAUUCUGCUUUAAACCACAAAUUCAUGUGCCAGCUGCAUUCACAAUUGUAUUGACAGUGACUGGGUGUUUAAGUUUUAUAACUUAGGCUAUAGUUUGUUCUUUAAGAAAUGCAAGUUCUUUCAGUUUUGUAAAUGUUUUAUUCUCACUAUGUCUGUUUCUUUUCUUCUUAAGUCUCUUUUGGAAAAGUUCUUGAUCCCCAAUGCUUCACAAGCAGAGAGCAAAGUCUUCUAUUUGAAAAUGAAAGGAGAUUACUACCGUUACUUGGCUGAGGUUGCCGCUGGUGAUGACAAGAAAGGGAUUGUCGAUCAGUCACAACAAGCAUACCAAGAAGCUUUUGAAAUCAGC